UAACAGGGGUAGCUUGCUACCCGCUGACGAGCGGCGGACGGGUGAGUAAUGCAUAGGAAUCUGCCCGAUAGUGGGGGAUAACCUGGGGAAACCCAGGCUAAUACCGCAUACGUCCUACGGGAGAAAGGGGGCUCCGGCUCCCGCUAUUGGAUGAGCCUAUGUCGGAUUAGCUAGUUGGUAAGGUAAUGGCUUACCAAGGCAACGAUCCGUAGCUGGUCUGAGAGGAUGAUCAGCCACAUCGGGACUGAGACACGGCCCGAACUCCUACGGGAGGCAGCAGUGGGGAAUAUUGGACAAUGGGGGCAACCCUGAUCCAGCCAUGCCGCGUGUGUGAAGAAGGCCCUCGGGUUGUAAAGCACUUUCAGCGAGGAAGAACGCCUAUCGGUUAAUACCCGGUAGGAAAGACAUCACUCGCAGAAGAAGCACCGGCUAACUCCGUGCCAGCAGCCGCGGUAAUACGGAGGGUGCAAGCGUUAAUCGGAAUUACUGGGCGUAAAGCGCGCGUAGGUGGCUUGAUAAGCCGGUUGUGAAAGCCCCGGGCUCAACCUGGGAACGGCAUCCGGAACUGUCAGGCUAGAGUGCAGGAGAGGAAGGUAGAAUUCCCGGUGUAGCGGUGAAAUGCGUAGAGAUCGGGAGGAAUACCAGUGGCGAAGGCGGCCUUCUGGACUGACACUGACACUGAGGUGCGAAAGCGUGGGUAGCAAACAGGAUUAGAUACCCUGGUAGUCCACGCCGUAAACGAUGUCGACCAGCCGUUGGGUGCCUAGAGCACUUUGUGGCGAAGUUAACGCGAUAAGUCGACCGCCUGGGGAGUACGGCCGCAAGGUUAAAACUCAAAUGAAUUGACGGGGGCCCGCACAAGCGGUGGAGCAUGUGGUUUAAUUCGAUGCAACGCGAAGAACCUUACCUACCCUUGACAUCUACAGAAGCCGGAAGAGAUUCUGGUGUGCCUUCGGGAACUGUAAGACAGGUGCUGCAUGGCUGUCGUCAGCUCGUGUUG
RNAcentral lists this ribosomal RNA (1000 nucleotides) under Halomonas sp. BRI 42. RNAcentral's name for it is "bacterial SSU rRNA". It matches the Rfam family "Bacterial small subunit ribosomal RNA", at positions 70 to 1067 of the family's 1533-position model. The record is from RNAcentral. Lineage: Bacteria; Pseudomonadati; Pseudomonadota; Gammaproteobacteria; Oceanospirillales; Halomonadaceae.